GCCGCUGUAGCUCAGUUGGUUAGAGCGCUUGACUGUGGAUCAAGAGGUCGGUGGUUCGAAUCCCCCCAGCGGUACCA
RNAcentral lists this transfer RNA (77 nucleotides) under Methyloceanibacter superfactus. RNAcentral describes it as "tRNA-His". It matches the Rfam family "tRNA". From Rfam's summary of the family: Transfer RNA (tRNA) molecules are approximately 80 nucleotides in length. Their secondary structure includes four short double-helical elements and three loops (D, anti-codon, and T loops). Lineage: Bacteria; Pseudomonadati; Pseudomonadota; Alphaproteobacteria; Hyphomicrobiales; Hyphomicrobiaceae. The record is from RNAcentral. RNAcentral also lists the same sequence under 3 other names.